This 226-nucleotide ribosomal RNA is filed under the name uncultured bacterium. Its description in RNAcentral is "partial 16S ribosomal RNA". It matches the Rfam family "Bacterial small subunit ribosomal RNA", at positions 109 to 334 of the family's 1533-position model. The record is from RNAcentral.
CGGAACACGUACGCAACCUACCCAUAACUGAGGGAAUAGUCCGGGGAAACCCGGAUUAAUACUUCGUAACAUAAUGAGAUGGCAUCAUUUUAUUAUUAUAGCUCCGGCGGUUAUGGAUGGGCGUGCGCCUGAUUAGGUAGUUGGCGGAGUAAUAGCCCACCAAGCCUACGAUCAGUAACUGGUGUGAGAGCACGACCAGUCACACGGGCACUGAGACACGGGCCCG